RNAcentral lists this ribosomal RNA (1196 nucleotides) under uncultured organism. RNAcentral's name for it is "SSU rRNA". It matches the Rfam family "Bacterial small subunit ribosomal RNA", at positions 277 to 1483 of the family's 1533-position model. The record is from RNAcentral.
CGAUGGAUAGGGGUUCUGAGAGGAAGGUCCCCCACAUUGGAACUGAGACACGGUCCAAACUCCUACGGGAGGCAGCAGUGAGGAAUAUUGGUCAAUGGACGAGAGUCUGAACCAGCCAAGUAGCGUGAAGGAUGACUGCCCUAUGGGUUGUAAACUUCUUUUAUAUGGGAAUAAAGUGGUCCACGUGUGGAUUUUUGUAUGUACCAUAUGAAUAAGAAUGGGCUAAAUUCCGUGCCAAGCAGCCGCGGUAAUACGGGGGUUCGAAGCGUUAUCCGGAUUUAUUGGGGUUAAAGGGAGCGGAAGUGGACAGUUAAGUCAGGUGUGAAAAUUUGCGGCUCAACCGUAAAAUUGCAGUUGAUACUGGCUGUCUUGAGUACAGUAGAGGUGGGCGGAAUUCGUGGUGUAGCGGUGAAAUGCUUAGAUAUCACGAAGAACUCCGAUUGCGAAGGCAGCUCACUGGACUGCAACUGACACUGAUGCUCGAAAGUGUGGGUAUCAAACAGGAUUAGAUACCCUGGUAGUCCACACAGUAAACGAUGAAUACUCGCUGUUUGCGAUAUACAGUAAGCGGCCAAGCGAAAGCAUUAAGUAUUCCACCUGGGGAGUACGCCGGCAACGGUGAAACUCAAAGGAAUUGACGGGGGCCCGCACAAGCGGAGGAACAUGUGGUUUAAUUCGAUGAUACGCGAGGAACCUUACCCGGGCUUAAAUUGCAUUUGAAUAAUCAAGAAAUUGGUUAGUCGUAAGACAAAUGUGAAGGUGCUGCAUGGUUGUCGUCAGCUCGUGCCGUGAGGUGUCGGCUUAAGUGCCAUAACGAGCGCAACCCUUAUCUUCAGUUACUAACAGGUCAUGCUGAGGACUCUGGAGAGACUGCCGUCGUAAGAUGUGAGGAAGGUGGGGAUGACGUCAAAUCAGCACGGCCCUUACGUCCGGGGCUACACACGUGUUACAAUGGGGGGUACAGAAGGCCGCUACCUGGUGACAGGAUGCUAAUCCCAAAAGCCUCUCUCAGUUCGGAUCGAAGUCUGCAACCCGACUUCGUGAAGCUGGAUUCGCUAGUAAUCGCGCAUCAGCCAUGGCGCGGUGAAUACGUUCCCGGGCCUUGUACACACCGCCCGUCAAGCCAUGAAAGCCGGGGGUACCUGAAGUACGUAACCGCAAGGAGCGUCCUAGGGUAAAACUGGUAAUUGGGGCUA